RNAcentral lists this ribosomal RNA (212 nucleotides) under uncultured bacterium. Its description in RNAcentral is "partial 16S ribosomal RNA". It matches the Rfam family "Bacterial small subunit ribosomal RNA", at positions 524 to 735 of the family's 1533-position model. The record is from RNAcentral.
UACGUAGGGUGCGAGCGUUGUCCGGAAUUAUUGGGCGUAAAGGGCUUGUAGGCGGUUUGUCGCGUCUGCUGUGAAAUCUCAAGGCUCAACCUUGAGCUUGCAGUGGGUACGGGCAGACUAGAGUGUGGUAGGGGAGACUGGAAUUCCUGGUGUAGCGGUGAAAUGCGCAGAUAUCAGGAGGAACACCGAUGGCGAAGGCAGGUCUCCUGGGC